AGGACGAACGCUGGCGGCGUGCUUAACACAUGCAAGUCGAGCGGUAAGGCCCUUUCGGGGGUACACGAGCGGCGAACGGGUGAGUAACACGUGAGCAAUCUGCCCUUCACUUCGGGAUAAGCCUCGGAAACGGGGUCGUAAUACCGGAUAUGACCGCGCUACGCAUGUGGUGUGGUGGAAAGUUCUGGCGGUGGAGGAUGAGCUCGCGGCCUAUCAGCUUGUUGGUGGGUAAUGGCCUACCAAGCUUCGACGGGUAGCGGCCUGAGAGGGUGACCGGCCACACUGGGACUGAGACACGGCCCAGACUCCUACGGGAGGCGGCAGUGGGGAAUAUUGGACAAUGGGCGAAAGCCUGAUCCAGCAACGCCGCGUGAGGGAUGACGGCCUUCGGGUUGUAAACCUCUUUCAGCGCCGACGAAGCGAGAGUGACGGUAGCGGCAGAAGAAGCGACCGCCAACUACGUGCCAGCAGCCGC
Molecule: ribosomal RNA, 475 nt
Filed under: uncultured soil bacterium
Lineage: Bacteria
Description: bacterial SSU rRNA
Rfam family: Bacterial small subunit ribosomal RNA
Source: RNAcentral